UGAACGCUAGCGAUAGGCCUAACACAUGCAAGUCGAGGGGCAGCACAUGAGUAGCAAUACGAUGGUGGCGACCGGCGCACGGGUGAGUAACACGUAUGCAACCUACCUUUAACAGGGGAAUAACCCGUUGAAAAACGGACUAAUACUCCAUAACGACAGGGGUCCCGCAUGGGAAUAUUUGUUAAAGAUUAAUCGGUUGAAGAUGGGCAUGCGUUCCAUUAGCUUGUUGGUGAGGUAACGGCUCACCAAGGCCACGAUGGAUAGGGGAACUGAGAGGUUUAUCCCCCACACUGGAACUGAGACACGGUCCAGACUCCUACGGGAGGCAGCAGUGAGGAAUAUUGGUCAAUGGAGGCAACUCUGAACCAGCCAAGUCGCGUGAAAGGAUGAAGGUCUUAUGGAUUGUAAACUUCUUUUGCAAGGGAAUAAAGUGGGGGACGUGUCCUCCUUUGCAUGUACCUUGCGAAUAAGGAUCGGCUAACUCCGUGCCAGCAGCGGC
This 499-nucleotide ribosomal RNA is filed under the name uncultured bacterium. RNAcentral describes it as "bacterial SSU rRNA". It matches the Rfam family "Bacterial small subunit ribosomal RNA", at positions 30 to 518 of the family's 1533-position model. The record is from RNAcentral.